This 76-nucleotide transfer RNA is filed under the name Geminicoccaceae bacterium. RNAcentral describes it as "tRNA-Lys". It matches the Rfam family "tRNA". From Rfam's summary of the family: Transfer RNA (tRNA) molecules are approximately 80 nucleotides in length. Their secondary structure includes four short double-helical elements and three loops (D, anti-codon, and T loops). Further hydrogen bonds mediate the characteristic L-shaped molecular structure. tRNAs have two regions of fundamental functional importance: the anti-codon, which is responsible for specific mRNA codon recognition, and the 3' end, to which the tRNAs corresponding amino acid is attached (by aminoacyl-tRNA synthetases). tRNAs cope with the degeneracy of the genetic code in two manners: having more than one tRNA (with a specific anti-codon) for a particular amino acid; and 'wobble' base-pairing, i.e. permitting non-standard base-pairing at the 3rd anti-codon position. The record is from RNAcentral. Lineage: Bacteria; Pseudomonadati; Pseudomonadota; Alphaproteobacteria; Geminicoccales; Geminicoccaceae.
GCGCCCCUAGCUCAAUUGGCAGAGCAGCUGACUUUUAAUCAGCGGGUUCGGGGUUCGAGUCCCCGGGGGCGCACCA